UCCUUCGACGUUAGCGGCGGACGGGUGAGUAACACGUGGGCAACCUACCUUAUAGUUUGGGAUAACUCCGGGAAACCGGGGCUAAUACCGAAUAAUCUGUUUCACCUCAUGGUGAAACACUGAAAGACGGUUUCGGCUGUCGCUAUAGGAUGGGCCCGCGGCGCAUUAGCUAGUUGGUGAGGUAACGGCUCACCAAGGCGACGAUGCGUAGCCGACCUGAGAGGGUGAUCGGCCACACUGGGACUGAGACACGGCCCAGACUCCUACGGGAGGCAGCAGUAGGGAAUCUUCCACAAUGGGCGAAAGCCUGAUGGAGCAACGCCGCGUGAGUGAAGAAGGAUUUCGGUUCGUAAAACUCUGUUGUAAGGGAAGAACAAGUACAGUAGUAACUGGCUGUACCUUGACGGUACCUUAUUAGAAAGCCACGGCUAACUACGUGCCAGCAGCCGCGGUAAUACGUAGGUGGCAAGCGUUGUCCGGAAUUAUUGGGCGUAAAGCGCGCGCAGGUGGUUUCUUAAGUCUGAUGUGAAAGCCCACGGCUCAACCGU
RNAcentral lists this ribosomal RNA (548 nucleotides) under Lysinibacillus sp. RNAcentral describes it as "bacterial SSU rRNA". It matches the Rfam family "Bacterial small subunit ribosomal RNA", at positions 82 to 616 of the family's 1533-position model. Lineage: Bacteria; Bacillati; Bacillota; Bacilli; Caryophanales; Bacillaceae. The record is from RNAcentral.